RNAcentral lists this ribosomal RNA (622 nucleotides) under uncultured archaeon. Its description in RNAcentral is "bacterial SSU rRNA". It matches the Rfam family "Archaeal small subunit ribosomal RNA", at positions 147 to 774 of the family's 1478-position model. The record is from RNAcentral.
UAAUACUCCAUAGAUUAGAGACACUGGAAUGUUCUUUAGUCGAAAGUUCUGGCGCCUUAGGAUGGAUCUGCGGUCGAUUAGGUUGUUGUUGGGGUAACGGCCCAACAAGCCUGUAAUCGAUACGGGUUGUGGGAGCAAGAGCCCGGAGAUGGAAUCUGAGACACGAUUCCAGGCCCUACGGGGCGCAGCAGGCGCGAAAACUUUACAAUGCAGGAAACUGUGAUAAGGGAACUCCGAGUGCCCGUAUACGCGGGCUGUCCAGGUGUUUAAAAAUCAUCUGAAGAAAGGGCCGGGCAAGACCGGUGCCAGCCGCCGCGGUAAUACCGGCGGCUCGAGUGGUGGCCACUAUUAUUGGGCUUAAAGCGUCCGUAGCUGGACCGAUAAGUCUCUUGGGAAAUCCGCCGGCUCAACCGGCGGGCGUCUAAGGGAUACUGUUAGUCUAGGGACCGGGAGAGGUGAGAGGUACUCCGGGGGUAGGAGUGAAAUCCUGUAAUCCCCGGGGGACCACCGAUGGCGAAGGCAUCUCACCAGAACGGCUCCGACAGUGAGGGACGAAAGCUGGGGGAGCGAACCGGAUUAGAUACCCGGGUAGUCCCAGCCGUAAACUAUGCGCGUUAGGCGU